CUACGGAACUCCUACGGGAGGCAGCAGUGGGGAAUAUUGCACAAUGGGCGGAAGCCUGAUGCAGCGACGCCGCGUGGGGGAUGACGGUCUUCGGAUUGUAAACCCCUUUCAGUAGGGACGAAGCGAGAGUGACGGUACCUGCAGAAGAAGCACCGGCCAACUACGUGCCAGCAGCCGCGGUAAUACGUAGGGUGCGAGCGUUGUCCGGAAUUACUGGGCGUAAAGAGCUCGUAGGCGGUUUGUCGCGUCGUCUGUGAAAUCCUCCAGCUUAACUGGGGGCGUGCAGGCGAUACGGGCAGACUUGAGUACUACAGGGGAGACUGGAAUUCCUGGUGUAGCGGUGAAAUGCGCAGAUAUCAGGAGGAACACCGGUGGCGAAGGUGGGUCUCUGGGUAGUAACUGACGCUGAGGAGCGAAAGCAUGGGUAGCGAACAGGAUUAGAUACCCGAGUAGUCCUCUUCGA
Molecule: ribosomal RNA, 463 nt
Filed under: uncultured bacterium
Lineage: Bacteria
Description: bacterial SSU rRNA
Rfam family: Bacterial small subunit ribosomal RNA
Source: RNAcentral